Molecule: ribosomal RNA, 301 nt
Filed under: uncultured bacterium
Lineage: Bacteria
Description: partial 16S ribosomal RNA
Rfam family: Bacterial small subunit ribosomal RNA
Source: RNAcentral
CAGCAGCCGCGGGAAUACGAAGGGUGCAAGCGUUACUCGGAAUUACUGGGCGUAAAGCGUGCGUAGGUGGUGGUUUAAGUCCGUUGUGAAAGCCCUGGGCUCAACCUGGGAAUUGCAGUGGAUACUGGGUCACUAGAGUGUGGUAGAGGAUAGUGGAAUUUCCGGUGUAGCAGUGAAAUGCGUAGAGAUGUGGAGGAAUACCGAUGGCGAAGGCAGCCCCCUGGGCCAAUACUGACGCUCAUGCACGAAAGCGUGGGGAGCAAACAGGAUUAGAUACCCCAGUAGUCCCUGUCUCUUAUAC